RNAcentral lists this long non-coding RNA (233 nucleotides) under Elaeis guineensis (African oil palm). RNAcentral's name for it is "long non-coding RNA (EGUI_LNC063240)". The record is from RNAcentral. Lineage: Eukaryota; Viridiplantae; Streptophyta; Magnoliopsida; Arecales; Arecaceae.
CACCGUAGAGCUCGAAGUCACCCUUCUUCAGCAUUCUAAUAUUCUGCAGCCUCUGCAAUGACUUGCAGAUAUGAGAAUAGCAGACGAUAUCCAAUACCUAGAGUCUGAAUUGGAAGAACUUAAUGAUAAAAUUAUAUGUAUCUCAUACAUACCUUUUGGUGCAUCGCUUGCACCAGCCUUUACAGUUGCAAGAUAUAAUUUGCAAUUUCUUUUCCAGUGUCCUGCCUUGCCAC